AGCGGUAGAGAGAAGCUUGCUUCUCUUGAGAGCGGCGGACGGGUGAGUAAUGCCUAGGAAUCUGCCUGGUAGUGGGGGAUAACGUUCGGAAACGGACGCUAAUACCGCAUACGUCCUACGGGAGAAAGCAGGGGACCUUCGGGCCUUGCGCUAUCAGAUGAGCCUAGGUCGGAUUAGCUAGUUGGUGAGGUAAUGGCUCACCAAGGCGACGAUCCGUAACUGGUCUGAGAGGAUGAUCAGUCACACUGGAACUGAGACACGGUCCAGACUCCUACGGGAGGCAGCAGUGGGGAAUAUUGGACAAUGGGCGAAAGCCUGAUCCAGCCAUGCCGCGUGUGUGAAGAAGGUCUUCGGAUUGUAAAGCACUUUAAGUUGGGAGGAAGGGCCAUUACCUAAUACGUGAUGGUUUUGACGUUACCGACAGAAUAAGCACCGGCUAACUCUGUGCCAGCAGCCGCGGUAAUACAGAGGGUGCAAGCGUUAAUCGGAAUUACUGGGCGUAAAGCGCGCGUAGGUGGUUUGUUAAGUUGGAUGUGAAAUCCCCGGGCUCAACCUGGGAACUGCAUUCAAAACUGACUGACUAGAGUAUGGUAGAG
RNAcentral lists this ribosomal RNA (596 nucleotides) under Pseudomonas grimontii. RNAcentral's name for it is "bacterial SSU rRNA". It matches the Rfam family "Bacterial small subunit ribosomal RNA", at positions 65 to 656 of the family's 1533-position model. The record is from RNAcentral. Lineage: Bacteria; Pseudomonadati; Pseudomonadota; Gammaproteobacteria; Pseudomonadales; Pseudomonadaceae.